Molecule: ribosomal RNA, 250 nt
Filed under: uncultured prokaryote
Description: partial 16S ribosomal RNA
Rfam family: Bacterial small subunit ribosomal RNA
Source: RNAcentral
UACGGAGGAUGCAAGCGUUAUCCGGAUUUAUUGGGUUUAAAGGGUUCGCAGGCGGCGCGUUAAGUCAGCGGUGAAAUCUCCCGGCUCAACCGGGGAACUGCCGUUGGUACUGGCGUGCUAGAGUACGGACGGCACCGGCGGAAUGUGUCAUGUAGUGGUGAAAUGCUUAGAUAUGCCACAGAACACCGAUCGCGAAGGCAGCAGGCGAGGCCGGAACUGACGCUCAGGCACGAAAGCGUGGGGAUCAAAC